RNAcentral lists this long non-coding RNA (1230 nucleotides) under Salmo salar (Atlantic salmon). RNAcentral describes it as "lncRNA (ENSSSAG00000087968.1)". Lineage: Eukaryota; Metazoa; Chordata; Actinopteri; Salmoniformes; Salmonidae. The record is from RNAcentral.
CUCGGAAGGAGGAAGUGUAGGAUAUCUAGAAAAUAAAGACUCUCGGAAGGAGGAAGUGUAGGAUAUCUAGAAAAUAAAGACGCUCGGAAGGAGAAAGUGUAGGAUAUCUAGAAAAUAAAGACGCUCAGAAGGAGGAAGUGUAGGAUAUCUAGAAAAUAAAGACGCUCGGAAGGAGAAAGUGUAGGAUAUCUAGAAAAUAAAGACGCUCAGAUUUGAAAAUCAGAGGUUUUCCUAACAGCCUAAUCGAGGUGUUUUACAAGGCUACAUGUAAAUCCUUCUGCUGACCUUAACUAGUUGCUUAUCAACAGGGACGGCAGCGUAGCCUAGUGGUUAGUUUAGCGCGUUGGACUAGUAACCGAAAGGUUGCAAGAUCGAAUCCCCGAGCUGACAAGGUACAAAUCUGUCGUUCUGCCCCCUGAACAAGGCAGUUAACCCACUGUUCCCCGGUAGACCGUCAUUGUAAAUAAUAAGAAUUUGUUCUUAACUGACUUGCCUGGUUAAAGGUUAAACAAACAUUUAAAACAGAGAAUGACUAUCCAAACUAAGCGAGACCAGGAUUUAUCUUAACGCCGCUCCGUGCAGCCAUCGGAUAAACCCCAGGAGCCCCUCUGGACGGCUCUUAUUAACGCCGCUCCUCCGCUGUCAAAACGUCAGCUGAAAACCCCCAUCUGAUUGGAUCUACAGUAACUAGACCUUCCCUGAGCGAGACGCCGAACACAUUGACUUACCAACAUCCUGGUUACUAACGGGAGGCUGGGGGAUUCAAUCCAAUUACAGGUGGUUACUAACGGGGAGGCUGGGGGAUUCAAUCCAAUUACAGGUGGUUACUAACGGGGAGGCUGGGCGAUUCAAUCCAAUUACAGGUGGUUACUAACGGGGAGGCUGGGGGAUUCAAUCCAAUUACAGGUGGUUACUAACGGGGAGGCUGGGGGAUUCAAUCCAAUUACGGCUUGUAGACAACAACAACAAAAAGCAAUGUUUGCAGUCAUGUAAAGGCUGUUAUCGGUCGACGGGGAAAUGUAUAUUUUAACAACUGCAUCAACAGCUGUCCAGCUCGCUGCUCAACAGAGAGAAUCCUGGUCUGAAUGAAUGUCCCCAGGCCAGAUAGAUUAUUACAGAGGGGAUCAGCAGGUCCUACAUCAGUGUGAAUGACACCCCCUCUUCCACUCUCAGCACAGGGGUCAGGGAGGGAGGAGGGAGGACCACACAGGAGGGAGGGAGGAGGGAGGG